Molecule: ribosomal RNA, 497 nt
Filed under: uncultured bacterium
Lineage: Bacteria
Description: partial 16S ribosomal RNA
Rfam family: Bacterial small subunit ribosomal RNA
Source: RNAcentral
GAUGAACGCUGGCGGCGUGCCUAAUACAUGCAAGUCGAGCGAACAGAUGAGGAGCUUGCUCCUCUGACGUUAGCGGCGGACGGGUGAGUAACACGUGGAUAACCUACCUAUAAGACUGGGAUAACUUCGGGAAACCGGAGCUAAUACCGGAUAAUAUAUUGAACCGCAUGGUUCAAUAGUGAAAGACGGUUUUGCUGUCACUUAUAGAUGGAUCCGCGCGGCAUUAGCUAGUUGGUAAGGUAACGGCUUACCAAGGCAACGAUGCGUAGCCGACCUGAGAGGGUGAUCGGCCACACUGGAACUGAGACACGGUCCAGACUCCUACGGGAGGGAGCAGUAGGGAAUCUGCCGCAAUGGGCGAAAGCCUGACGGAGCAACGCCGCGUGAGUGAUGAAGGUGUUCGGAUCGUAAAACUCUGUUAUUAGGGAAGAACAAAUGUGUAAGUAACUAUGCACGUCUUGACGGUACCUAAUCAGAAAGCCACGGCUAACUACGUG